AGCGUAGACGGUUUGGCAAGUCUGAUGUGAAAGCCCGGGGCUCAACCCCGGGAUUGCAUUGGAAACUGUCAAUCUAGAGUGCAGGAGAGGUAAGUGGAAUUCCUAGUGUAGCGGUGAAAUGCGUAGAUAUUAGGAGGAACACCAGUGGCGAAGGCGGCUUACUGGACUGUAACUGACGUUGAGGCUCGAAAGCGUGGGGAGCAAACA
Molecule: ribosomal RNA, 207 nt
Filed under: uncultured Lachnospiraceae bacterium
Lineage: Bacteria; Bacillati; Bacillota; Clostridia; Lachnospirales; Lachnospiraceae
Description: partial 16S ribosomal RNA
Rfam family: Bacterial small subunit ribosomal RNA
Source: RNAcentral